This 492-nucleotide ribosomal RNA is filed under the name uncultured bacterium. RNAcentral describes it as "partial 16S ribosomal RNA". It matches the Rfam family "Bacterial small subunit ribosomal RNA", at positions 29 to 507 of the family's 1533-position model. The record is from RNAcentral.
AGUGAGCGCUGGCGGUAGGCCUAACACAUGCAAGUCGAACGGCAGCACAGUAAGAGCCUGCUCUUACGGGUGGCGAGUGGCGGACGGGUGAGGAAUACAUCGGAAUCUACUUUUUCGUGGGGGAUAACGUAGGGAAACUUACGCUAAUACCGCAUACGACCUACGGGUGAAAGCAGGGGAUCUUCGGACCUUGCGCGAUUGAAUGAGCCGAUGUCGGAUUAGCUAGUUGGCGGGGUAAAGGCCCACCAAGGCGACGAUCCGUAGCUGGUCUGAGAGGAUGAUCAGCCACACUGGAACUGAGACACGGUCCAGACUCCUACGGGAGGCAGCAGUGGGGAAUAUUGGACAAUGGGCGCAAGCCUGAUCCAGCCAUACCGCGUGGGUGAAGAAGGCCUUCGGGUUGUAAAGCCCUUUUGUUGGGAAAGAAAAGCAGCAGGUUAAUACCCCGCUGUUCUGACGGUACCCAAAGAAUAAGCACCGGCUAACUUCGUG